This is a non-coding RNA of Podarcis lilfordi (Lilford's wall lizard), 72 nucleotides long. The record is from the annotation of a GenBank genome assembly. Lineage: Eukaryota; Metazoa; Chordata; Lepidosauria; Squamata; Lacertidae.
GGGGGAAUAGCUCAGUGCUAGAGGAUCUGCUUUGCAUGCAGACAGUCCCAGGUUCGAUCCUAUGUGUCUCCA